RNAcentral lists this transfer RNA (69 nucleotides) under Marmota monax (woodchuck). Its description in RNAcentral is "tRNA.Ala". The record is from RNAcentral. Lineage: Eukaryota; Metazoa; Chordata; Mammalia; Rodentia; Sciuridae.
GGGCUGGGCUCUGUGGUAGAGCGCUCGCCUAGCAUGUGUGAGGCCCUGGGUUUGAUCCUCAGCACCACA